UAAUCCAGCUGGCUGUGAAUCCCCGUAAAGGACUGUGCGGGUGAUGUCACAACCAGGCGCCAGCAGGGAGCGGGCGGGAUUUUGAUUGGUGUUAGGCGUCCCCGGCGCCUGCUUCCUAAUGCACACGUUGCUAGGCAACAAACACGUCACCGGCGAGCCGCUCACGUGACUCACCCGGAAGUCCUGGUCACAGACACACGGAACACCUCUCUCUGGCACACCACGCUAUUUAACAGCGCAAGACAGGGACUAGAAAACCAGAAUACUACACCAGCCCACAUUGACUGAGGCACAUGAAGAGA
Pseudophryne corroboree (corroboree frog) is the source of this 302-nucleotide long non-coding RNA. RefSeq lists it as uncharacterized. The transcript has 3 exons. The record is from RefSeq and is a predicted model, not a curated record. NCBI's taxonomy places the organism in Eukaryota, Metazoa, Chordata, Amphibia, Anura, Myobatrachidae.